Molecule: small nuclear RNA, 311 nt
Filed under: Dasypus novemcinctus (nine-banded armadillo)
Lineage: Eukaryota; Metazoa; Chordata; Mammalia; Cingulata; Dasypodidae
Description: 7SK RNA (ENSDNOG00000029041.1)
Rfam family: 7SK RNA
About the family: 7SK was discovered as an abundant small nuclear RNA in the mid-70s but a possible function has only recently been suggested.
Source: RNAcentral
GGAUGUGAGGGUGAUCUGGCUGCGACAUCUGUCACCGCAUUGAUUGCCAGGGUUGAUUGGGCCGAUCUGGCUGGCUGGGCGGGUGUCCCCUUCCUCCCUCACCACUCCACGUGCGUCCCCCCCGAAGCUGCGCGCCUGGCCGAGGAGCUCGCCCUUCCCCGCUGGAGGAGGACCGUGCUUCCCUCAAGGGUAUACGAGUAGCCGCGCUCCCCUGCUAGAACCUCCACACAAGCUCUCCAAAGGACAAACGUUGUGUGAGUCCACUUAUAUGAAGUAUUGAAUAAGCAAAUUCAUAGUGACAGAAAGUAGAU